UGCUGGACUUCCUGACGCUGACAAGGCAAAGAAGAGAAAUAAGCAAGGGCACUUUUUUGAAUGGUAUCCAAACAACGAUGUGAGUGUUCUUUCUGAGAGUGAGCAAAUGGACCAUUAUAAAGUCAAGACCACUUGGUUAUGAAGGGCACCUUUCAUUUAUUGAAUGGGUAGCCACACAGCACUGCGGAAUAUUUCAUAUCGACUUGUGUCAUCACACACCAGAAAUGAGGUGUACUCAAGGUUAGAUUAUUUAUAGCCC
RNAcentral lists this long non-coding RNA (259 nucleotides) under Pogona vitticeps (central bearded dragon). RNAcentral describes it as "lncRNA (ENSPVIG00000014033.1)". The record is from RNAcentral. Lineage: Eukaryota; Metazoa; Chordata; Lepidosauria; Squamata; Agamidae.